GUUACCCAGCAAAUUAAAUAUUUAGAACAGCCAUUAAUUUUACAAAUUUUCGCGAGAGACGUCAUUUAUGCCAUGUGUUUGCCACGUAAUAAAGCGAGAAAAGCUCUUUAUUAUUGAAAUUACGGCAGGCGACAGCAGGAAGAGAGAGAAAAUGUCUCGCGUGGAUCCACCCCGCUCGCUCGUACCUAGCCCGGCAAACACGCCGCACCGCACUUCCCGGAUUGUUUUAGGGUGCGCCAAAAAGCCGGGGAAACCGCCAGUCGAAGCUCAACCGGACGCUAGAAAUUAUUUAUGCUGGGACACGCCUGCCAACGCACGCGCACGUCGUGUACAUCCCCCUGUCGUUCCAGCACCGCGACGCAGCGAAUCUGAAGGAGCCUCGAAAUGCCACAGUGCGAUGUCUUGGAGUAGCAAAGAUGUGGGUGCACUGCCUCCUUGGAUAUCCGCUGUGGACCCACUCCAGCUUUAGGAAUAGCAAUAUCCUACACUGGAACAACCUGUGAUAGUGUGAAAUUGUAUCACCGCUGGAAAUUAUCAGUACCGAACCAACAACAACGAGACAAAAAAGCGAUAAAUGAAGCAUAUAAAACAAAUUUUGGUCGACCGCCAGUCAUUGCGCCGGGGAGCCGAACACCCUCACAACGUCCUCCAUAGAGCGCAGCUGGAACACCUGCGCGCCGUCGCCUCUACGAGCGAAAACGCGGCCCCUCCUAGUCCAAGUGUACUUCCACUGGAGACGACGGCACUCCUCCCGAACCCGGUGAAAGAGCUGGCGAUUCAGCCGGGUCAGGCGCUCAUUGAUGAAAACUCUCGCUCCACCCUCGCCGGUGUUUAACUAUUGUUUUUGUGAUUAUAAAUUAAUUUCGUG
Long non-coding RNA from Ostrinia nubilalis (European corn borer), 868 nucleotides. RefSeq lists it as uncharacterized. NCBI's taxonomy places the organism in Eukaryota, Metazoa, Arthropoda, Insecta, Lepidoptera, Crambidae. The transcript is spliced from 5 exons. The record is from RefSeq and is a predicted model, not a curated record.